This 253-nucleotide ribosomal RNA is filed under the name uncultured bacterium. RNAcentral describes it as "partial 16S ribosomal RNA". It matches the Rfam family "Bacterial small subunit ribosomal RNA", at positions 524 to 776 of the family's 1533-position model. The record is from RNAcentral.
GACGAACCGUGCGAAGGUUGUUCGGAAUCACUGGGCUUAAAGGGUGCGUAGGCGGCCGCGUAAGUCGGGUGUGAAAUCCCUCGGCUCAACCGAGGAAUUGCGCCCGAUACUGCGUGGCUCGAGGAAAGUAUGGGCGCGUGGAACUUCCGGUGGAACGGUGAAAUGUAUUGAUAUCGGAAGGAACGCCGGUGGCGUAAGCGGCGCGCUGGGCUUUUUCUGCCGCUGAGGCACGAAAGCUAGGGUAGCGAACGGG